GCGACCUCAGCUCAGGCGAGAACACCCGCUGA
This 32-nucleotide ribosomal RNA is filed under the name Pinus heldreichii. Its description in RNAcentral is "partial 26S ribosomal RNA". The record is from RNAcentral. Lineage: Eukaryota; Viridiplantae; Streptophyta; Pinopsida; Pinales; Pinaceae.